CUCACGUUCUAUCUGCUUUGGU
This 22-nucleotide non-coding RNA is filed under the name Arabidopsis thaliana (thale cress). The record is from RNAcentral. Lineage: Eukaryota; Viridiplantae; Streptophyta; Magnoliopsida; Brassicales; Brassicaceae.